AAGCUCUGUUUUUAGUUUAUAAAUCACUGAACGGCUCAGCACCACAAUACAUUAGAGAUCCACUGUUGUUGCAUCAACCUUCCAUACCAAAAUGUAAUUUAUUUAAGAAAGCAAGCAUAUUUAUGGACCAUAUCAAUGAUAUUCUAUAUUACAAGUCAGUU
Poecilia latipinna (sailfin molly) is the source of this 161-nucleotide long non-coding RNA. RefSeq lists it as uncharacterized. Lineage: Eukaryota; Metazoa; Chordata; Actinopteri; Cyprinodontiformes; Poeciliidae. The record is from RefSeq and is a predicted model, not a curated record. The transcript is spliced from 3 exons.